RNAcentral lists this ribosomal RNA (91 nucleotides) under Pseudomonas putida. Lineage: Bacteria; Pseudomonadati; Pseudomonadota; Gammaproteobacteria; Pseudomonadales; Pseudomonadaceae. The record is from RNAcentral. RNAcentral also lists the same sequence under 5 other names.
CACCUGAUCCCAUCCCGAACUCAGUAGUGAAACGAUGCAUCGCCGAUGGUAGUGUGGGGUUUCCCCAUGUGAGAGUAGGUCAUCGUCAAGA